GUCUCUUCGGAGACAUCUGAUAAAACUGGAACGAUACUGAAAUGAUUGUCCCUCGGUAGGAUGAUACCUCACACCCAAAAAUUUUAGCAAUUUGU
Non-coding RNA from Arabis alpina (gray rockcress), 95 nucleotides. The record is from Rfam. NCBI's taxonomy places the organism in Eukaryota, Viridiplantae, Streptophyta, Magnoliopsida, Brassicales, Brassicaceae.